RNAcentral lists this long non-coding RNA (971 nucleotides) under Homo sapiens (human). Its description in RNAcentral is "HSALNT0355656". Lineage: Eukaryota; Metazoa; Chordata; Mammalia; Primates; Hominidae. The record is from RNAcentral.
GGAAACCGCGCUUUGUUGGUGAGGUGAACCGCGUGCACGAUCCCGAGGAAGUAUUGCCAGGGAGGAAACCGCGCUUUGUUCUUGAGGUGAGCCGGGUGCGCGACCAUGAGGAAGGAUGGCGAGGGAGGAAACCGCGCUUUGUUGGUGAGGUGAAACGGGUGCACGAUCCCGAGGAAGUAUUGCCAGGGAGGAAACCGCGCUUUGCUGGUGAGGUGUUCACGGAUAAUGAAGCUGAUGUGAGAGCCCUGGAGAGAAACAUCAGUCAAAGGCAUGCAGGGAAUCCCAUCCAGCGUCCCUCUACUCUCCUCUGCAGCUUCCAUGGUUGGAAUGCUGAGCCAUUGCUAGGACGAUGAGGCUACAGGAAAGUGAAAUGCACCUGCUGCGAUCUGAUCCAACUGACCACUCCUGCUGCUCCUCCCUUGCACCUCAGGCAUCUCCUUCCAAUCUGGAGGAAACACUUUUACCUCCACUUUUCUUUUACAGUCCUCCAAACUCUGUUCCUUCUAGGGAGCACAAGUACAGAAAUAGAAACCUGGACUCCCAUCAUCCUGCUUCACAAACUUACAAUGUUAAAGAAAGAAAAAAAAAAAGACCAAGUACAUUACCUGGUAGAAUUGGAGAGAUGGGCACGAAAGAGCUGUAAAUACAGUUAGAAAACACACUAGCAUUUACAAAUGUGUAUGAGAAACAAUGAGGAGGAUUUUCAGAGACUAUCAUAACCAUUUAUUUUUCUAAUAUGUGAUAAGUAAACGCACAGAAAAUCAAUUUAAUAUUUGGGGCUUUUAUUUCUCAUUUUUUAGAUUGCCAGAAAGACUGUCCAGUGUUAUAAAGUUUGUGUCAAUAUUCUGGAAUUGGCAAUUUUGUCAUUUAUAUGGGAGAAAUAGCUAAAGGUGUAGUAUAAAGUAUUUGCUCGUAGGUAAUGGAAUGUUACCUUUACCCAAAGAUAUAAAAAAUAAACGGUAGAACAAAAA